Gossypium arboreum is the source of this 46-nucleotide non-coding RNA. The record is from Rfam. NCBI's taxonomy places the organism in Eukaryota, Viridiplantae, Streptophyta, Magnoliopsida, Malvales, Malvaceae.
CCAAUGGAGUUUUUAGACUCCACAAAUAGUGUAAGGCCCCAAAUUU